RNAcentral lists this ribosomal RNA (550 nucleotides) under Dichotomopilus funicola. RNAcentral describes it as "eukaryotic LSU rRNA". The stretch from base 165 to 318 matches the Rfam family "5.8S ribosomal RNA". The record is from RNAcentral. Lineage: Eukaryota; Fungi; Ascomycota; Sordariomycetes; Sordariales; Chaetomiaceae.
UAAAAUUGCAAAUUCCCAAACCAUCGUGAACGUUACCUACAUCGUUGCUUCGGCGGGUGGCGGGCUUCCGCCCCGCCCUCGGCCCCUCCCGGGGGCCCGCCGGAGGUACACCAAACUCUUGAAUUUACAUGGCCUCUCUGAGUCUUCUGUACUGAAUAAGUCAAAACUUUCAACAACGGAUCUCUUGGUUCUGGCAUCGAUGAAGAACGCAGCGAAAUGCGAUAAGUAAUGUGAAUUGCAGAAUUCAGUGAAUCAUCGAAUCUUUGAACGCACAUUGCGCCCGCCAGUAUUCUGGCGGGCAUGCCUGUCCGAGCGUCAUUUCAACCAUCAAGCCCCCGGCUUGUGUUGGGGACCUGCGGCACACCCGCAGGCCAUGAAAACCAGUGGCGGGCUCGCUGUCCACACCGAGCGUAGUAGCAUAUCUUUGUCUCGCUCAGGGCGUGCGGCGGGUUCCGGCCGUGAAACCCACCUUCUCGAAGGUACCCAAAGGUUGACCUCGGAUCAAGUAGGAAGACCCGCUGAACUUAAGCAUAUCAAUAAGCGGAGGAAA